This 405-nucleotide ribosomal RNA is filed under the name uncultured bacterium. RNAcentral describes it as "partial 16S ribosomal RNA". It matches the Rfam family "Bacterial small subunit ribosomal RNA", at positions 30 to 526 of the family's 1533-position model. The record is from RNAcentral.
AUUGAACGCUGGCGGCAGGCCUAACACAUGCAAGUCGAACGAGUGGCGGACGGGAGAGUAAUGAAUGGGAAUGUAGCUGAUGGAGGGGGAUAACUAAGGGAAACUGUAGCUAAUAACGCGUACAAUAGGAUGAGCCCAUGUGGGAUUAGGUAGUUGGUGGGGUAAAGGCACACCAAGACGACGAACUCUAGCUGGUCGGAGAGGAUGACCAGCCCCACUGGAACUGGGACACUGCCCAGACUCCUACGGGAGGCAGCAGUGGGGAAUAUUGCGCAAUGGUGGGAACCUGACGCAGCCAGGCCGCGUCUAUGACGGAGGCCUUCGGGUUGUAAAGUUCUUUCUGUGGCGAGGCGUUACCUACAGAAGAAGCACCGGCUAACUCCGUGCCAGCCGCCGCGGUAAUAC